GGGUGUGUAGCUCAGUGGGAGAGCGCUUCCUUGACACGGAAGAGGUCGAAAGUUCAAUCCUUUCCACACCCACCA
Molecule: transfer RNA, 75 nt
Filed under: Thermotogota bacterium ADurb.Bin062
Lineage: Bacteria; Thermotogati; Thermotogota
Also listed under: 2 other names
Description: Thermotogae bacterium ADurb.Bin062 tRNA-Val
Rfam family: tRNA
About the family: Transfer RNA (tRNA) molecules are approximately 80 nucleotides in length. Their secondary structure includes four short double-helical elements and three loops (D, anti-codon, and T loops). Further hydrogen bonds mediate the characteristic L-shaped molecular structure. tRNAs have two regions of fundamental functional importance: the anti-codon, which is responsible for specific mRNA codon recognition, and the 3' end, to which the tRNAs corresponding amino acid is attached (by aminoacyl-tRNA synthetases). tRNAs cope with the degeneracy of the genetic code in two manners: having more than one tRNA (with a specific anti-codon) for a particular amino acid; and 'wobble' base-pairing, i.e. permitting non-standard base-pairing at the 3rd anti-codon position.
Source: RNAcentral